Molecule: ribosomal RNA, 541 nt
Filed under: Thioploca chileae
Lineage: Bacteria; Pseudomonadati; Pseudomonadota; Gammaproteobacteria; Thiotrichales; Thiotrichaceae
Description: bacterial SSU rRNA
Rfam family: Bacterial small subunit ribosomal RNA
Source: RNAcentral
UUGGACAAUGGGCUAAAGCCUGAUCCAGCAAUGCCGCGUGUGUGAAGAAGGCCUGAGGGUUGUAAAGCACUUUCAGUUGGGAAGAAAAGCUUUGGGUUAAUACCCUAAAGUCUUGACGUUACCAACAGAAGAAGCACCGGCUAACUCUGUGCCAGCAGCCGCGGUAAUACAGAGGGUGCGAGCGUUAAUCGGAAUUACUGGGCGUAAAGCGUGCGUAGGCUGUUAAGUCAGUCGGAUGUGAAAGCCCAAGGCUUAACCUUGGAACUGCAUUCGAUACUGCUUAGCUAGAGUACAGUAGAGGGAAGCGGAAUUCCUAGUGUAGCGGUGAAAUGCGUAGAUAUUAGGAAGAACACCAGUGGCGAAGGCGGCUUCCUGGACUGAUACUGACGCUGAGGUACGAAAGCGUGGGGAGCAAACAGGAUUAGAUACCCUGGUAGUCCACGCCCUAAACGAUGAGAACUAGAUGUUGGGGGAAAUUAAUCCCUUAGUNUCGCAGCUAACGCGUUAAGUANNCCGCCUGGGGAGUACGGCCGCAAGGUUA